UACGUAGGGUGCGAGCGUUGUCCGGAAUUAUUGGGCGUAAAGGGCUCGUAGGCGGUUUGUCGCGUCGGGAGUGAAAACCUUGGGCUUAACUCAGGGCUUGCUUUCGAUACGGGCAGACUAGAGGUAGGUAGGGGAGACGUGAAUUCCUGGUGUAGCGGUGAAAUGCGCAGAUAUCAGGAGGAACACCGGUGGCGAAGGCGGGUCUC
RNAcentral lists this ribosomal RNA (206 nucleotides) under uncultured bacterium. Its description in RNAcentral is "partial 16S ribosomal RNA". It matches the Rfam family "Bacterial small subunit ribosomal RNA", at positions 524 to 729 of the family's 1533-position model. The record is from RNAcentral.